GAGCAAGGCACACUGGGUUUACCAACCACAACCCCCUCCAUGCCUUCUGUGUUAGAAGAAGAAAGAAGAAAAGGCAGCAAACUCAGACUGUGGAGCGGGAGCAGCCACCACCUGCAUGGAGCAGAGGCCCAGGAUGCAAAAGAAUAAAAUACCUAGAAACAAAUUUGACAAAGGAAAUGAAAGACUUUGACAAUGAAAACUACAAAACAUUGCUGAACGUAAGAGGCUCUAAAGAUGGAAAGACAUCCCACGUUCAUGGAUUGGAUGACCUAAUAUUGUUAAGUUAGCAGUACUCCCCGCAAUGAUCUACAGAUUCAAGGCAAUCUCUAUCAAAAUUCCAAUGGCCUUUUUCACAGAAAUAGAAAAACCAGGCUAGGCAUAGUGGCUCACAUCUGUAAUCCCAACACUUUGGGAGGCGGAGGCAGGUGGAUCGCUUGAGCCUAGGAAUUCAAGACCAGCCUGGACAACGUAACCCCCAUUCUACAAAAAAUACAAAAAUUAGCCAGGCAUGAUGGCGUAGUAGUCCCAGCUACUCGGGAGGCUAAGGCAGGAGGAUCACUUGUACCCGAGAGGUUAAUACUGCAGUGAGCCAUCGUCACACCACUGCACUCCAGCCUGGGUGACAGAAUGAGACCCUGUCUCCAAAAAGAAAAAGAAAAAAGAAAAACCAAUCCUCAAAUUCAUAUGGAACUACAAGGGGCGUCAGAGAGCCAGAACGAUAUUGUAAAAGAAUUAUAAUAUCAUAAAAUAAUAUUGUAAAAUAAUUUUCUUCUUGCAAAAGAAAAAAAUUAGCCAGGUAUAGUGGCUUGUGCCUGUAGUCCCAGCUACUGAGGAGGCUGAGGUGGGAGGAUCUCUUGAGCCCGGGAAGGGAGUCCAGCCUGGGCAACAUAGGAGACGCCAUCUCUAAAAAGUAAAGAAGAAAUAGUGUUGGUGGGGGGAGGAAGAAACUAGAGGAUUCACAUUUCUCAAUCUCAAAACUUACUACAAAACUAUGUGGUACUGGCAUAGAAUAGACAUACGGAGCAAUAGAAUAAAAUAGAAAGCCCAGAAAUAAACCCGAAGAUCUACUACGACUGAUCGAUUUUUGCAAGGGUGACAAGACCAUUCAGUGGAUAAAGGGUAAAGAAUGGCCUUUUUAACAAAUGAUGCGGGGGCAGUUGGAGAUUUACAUGCCAAAAGCAAUGACGCUGGACUCUUACCUCACACCAUGGAUUGAAAACUAAUUCAAAGUGGAUCAAUGACCUAAAUACAUGAACUAAAAUUAUAAAACAGCUAGAAAAAAACAUAGAAGUCAAUUUUAAUGACCCUGGAUUUGGCAAUGGAUUCUUAGAUUUGACACCAAAAGCACAUGCAACAAAAGAAAAAAUAGAUAAAUU
This 1376-nucleotide long non-coding RNA is filed under the name Pan troglodytes (chimpanzee). RNAcentral's name for it is "long non-coding RNA NONPTRT006947". The record is from RNAcentral. Lineage: Eukaryota; Metazoa; Chordata; Mammalia; Primates; Hominidae.